CGCAUCUGUGCAUGCAGCAUAUCAAUAAGCGGAGGAAAAGAAACUAACAAGGAUUCCCCUAGUAACGGCGAGUGAAGCGGGAAGAGCUCAAAUUUGAAAUCUUAAAGGGUUUCCCUUUACGAAUUGUAGUUUAAAGAAGUGUUUUCUGUUGAGGUUUUGGUAAAAGUUCUUUGGAAUAGGACAUCAUAGAGGGUGAGAAUCCCGUAUUUGACCUUUACUUUCAACUUUGUGAUACACUUUCAAAGAGUCGGAUUGUUUGGGAAUGCAGUCCAAAAUGGGUGGUAAAUUUCAUCUAAAGCUAAAUAUUGGCGAGAGACCGAUAGCGAACAAGUACCGUGAGGGAAAGAUGAAAAGAACUUUGAAAAGAGAGUUAAACAGUACGUGAAAUUGUCAAAGGGAAGCGUUUGACACCAGUGCUGUUUUUCUGAAAAUCAAUUAAAGAACUGUUUAUGCUAAGCUGUUUAGACUUUAUCAGCUAUCUGUUUAGUUUUGAGCUUUUCUUUAAUGCACUUUUCAGUUAACAAGUCAACAUCAAUUUCUUUUGCUGUAAAAAAGCUUGAGGAAGGUGGCUUGAGAUUCGUCUUAAGUGUUUAUAGCCUCUUGCCUAUGCAGUCGGAGAGAUUGAGGUCUGCAGCGUAGAUCCUUCGGGGCUAAAUGCAUUUGUGCUAAGUUAUAGCAUUUUAUAGACAACUUGUUGACUAUGAUUUGUCUUGUAGCUUACUCGCUUAUGUUAUUUUACCUACGCUUAGGAUGUUGAAUCUGUGCGAGACUAC
Molecule: ribosomal RNA, 773 nt
Filed under: uncultured Neocallimastigales
Lineage: Eukaryota; Fungi; Neocallimastigomycota; Neocallimastigomycetes; Neocallimastigales
Description: partial large subunit ribosomal RNA
Rfam family: Eukaryotic large subunit ribosomal RNA
Source: RNAcentral